UCCUUCGCCUUCGAAACACGACACAUCCUAUUGCCCUUCCGUUCCCCUAUCGCUCGUCGACGGUGGCGGCUUCCAGAUCCGGUGCUUCCCCGGUGGACGAGGACUACUCCCACGGCACCUGCUCAAUGCCUCCCUCCUCACACUCCAGCAUCCAGGUCGGUUGGCUACGUCCCCCUUGCACCCCAACAUCGUGCUGCACAUUGUCGUCAGGGACCAGGCCGCCGCCGCCACGGCCUCCUCCUCCCCGGUGGCCGCGGGCACCCCAUCUACUCAGUUGAACAUUCGUAUCUUCCCAUAGGCAACCUGGUGGUUCUCGAGCGUGCGGUGAUGCUUCCACGGUCUACUCCUCCCCGGUGCUCCUAGAUCCAACAAUAGCUCACCGGAGGCAAGCUGGUGGGGCUGCAUCUACUCACCUCCUUCGCCUCACAAGCUCAACAUGAAGGAAAUGAAGAUUGAUGAGCUAGAAGGACUAUAACUGGAUGCAAAGGGAACUAACUUUUCUUUCAUGUGCUAUCAAGAUAACAAACCUGAUGCAAGCUUUGGUAGCGAUGCGUAUUCAGCGGGGAUCACUUUAGUACUUCAUACUUGGGGCUUGCUGUUCAUGUACUAGAAAAUUAUUAUGUCAUGUUAUGUGCCAAGUUAUAUAUGUAUGUCUCUUGUGUACUCAAAUUAGGAUGGAUGACAUGCACUCAAAUUAGGAUGGAUCACUUCAGUCCUUCAUACUCGGCUUGCUGGUUUUCUGUAUGGUUGGGCAACAACAAUCUGCACUGCUUACAAAUUGUGCUGCUGCAGUAUAUGGAAGCAUCAAUCACCUGAAAUCUGGAGCAUUUUUAACAUGAAGUUCUCCUGAAAAAACUUGUAUUCAGAAUGCAGAUUUGUGUCACGGACCUAUGAUGUACUUUGUGUCGUAAUUAUUUUAAACUCCACAAAACAGUUCUUGAGGACA
Molecule: long non-coding RNA, 946 nt
Organism: Triticum aestivum (bread wheat)
Lineage: Eukaryota; Viridiplantae; Streptophyta; Magnoliopsida; Poales; Poaceae
Exons: 2
Source: RefSeq, a predicted model, not a curated record